RNAcentral lists this ribosomal RNA (494 nucleotides) under uncultured bacterium. RNAcentral describes it as "bacterial SSU rRNA". It matches the Rfam family "Bacterial small subunit ribosomal RNA", at positions 28 to 517 of the family's 1533-position model. The record is from RNAcentral.
GACGAACGCUGGCGGCGUGCUUAACACAUGCAAGUCGAGCGGUAAGGCCCUUUCGGGGGUACACGAGCGGCGAACGGGUGAGUAACACGUGGGUGACCUGCCCUUAGCUCUGGGAUAAGCCUGGGAAACUGGGUCUAAUACCGGAUAUGACUCCAUGACGCAUGUUGUGGGGUGGAAAGCCUUGUGCGGCUAGGGAUGGGCCCGCGGCCUAUCAGCUUGUUGGUGGGGUGAUGGCCUACCAAGGCGACGACGGGUAGCCGGCCUGAGAGGGCGACCGGCCACACUGGGACUGAGACACGGCCCAGACUCCUACGGGAGGCAGCAGUGGGGAAUAUUGGACAAUGGGCGAAAGCCUGAUCCAGCGAUGCCGCGUGUGUGAAGAAGGCCUGCGGGUUGUAAAGCACUUCAGUAGGGAAGAAAAGCCGAGUGCCAAUACCACUCGGUCUUGACGUUACCUAAAGAAGAAGCACCGGCUAACUCCGUGCCAGCCGCCG